Long non-coding RNA from Catharus ustulatus (Swainson's thrush), 731 nucleotides. RefSeq lists it as uncharacterized. The record is from RefSeq and is a predicted model, not a curated record. NCBI's taxonomy places the organism in Eukaryota, Metazoa, Chordata, Aves, Passeriformes, Turdidae. The transcript is spliced from 2 exons.
UACGUCAUUGUAGGAAUAUCCACUGCUUUUCAUUUCUUCUGCUUUUGACUGCUCUUAGCUGCACUUAUCCAUACAUUAACCAGAGGUUUCAGAUUGUGUGACCCAUUGUGUAAAGAACAUGGUGAGAAUGCAGCUGCUUCUGGGACAGACUUCACAGUGAAGUGGAAGGGGAAUUUUGGAAGAAAAUGAAGUAGCACGUGUAAAGCCCUGUGCUGGGGUGACUUUAUGAUGCUGAAUUAUAUCCCCAUUCAUCUGUUUAGCCCAGAAAUAAGUUUCUUCACUCUGAGAGUGAAGUGGGGGAGAAGAAGCUCUCAGUUUGUUUUCAGAAACUGCACUUUGUCCCCUGCAUUCUUUCUCACAGACAGUGUUGUCUGCAGCACAGAGAGAGCUCUCCUUUGCUUUUAGUUGGUUUUUUUUAGCCAGCUGAGGCAGAGAAGUUCCCGGGACUGUGGCUUUUCUUUUUUUGGAAUUGAUCAGCCUUGCUUUGGACCAAAAACACAGAAGAACACCAGGAGCUCACUCCUGUGGCCCACUGGGGCCCAGGACAUGGCAUUUUCCAGCACAGGAGGGACUGAUAGAGACUGAGCAAGCUGAGCUACAUCCCACAAAACAAACUUUCUCUGAAUUUGCCAUCUCUUCAAAACAAUGAGAUAUUCCAUUGUUUAAUAUUAUUCAUUUUUUUCAUGUUUGUAAGUACUUUGCUUGUUAAAUAAACAGUUUUCCUGCUUUUC